CCAUAGCCCAGAUGGGAGCGACAUCCUUUUUAUUUUUUCUUUAAAAAUAAAAAGAUAUAGCAGACAGCUGGAAAUAGC
RNAcentral lists this small RNA (78 nucleotides) under Flavobacterium sp. KMS. Its description in RNAcentral is "Flavo-1 RNA". It matches the Rfam family "Flavo-1 RNA". Lineage: Bacteria; Pseudomonadati; Bacteroidota; Flavobacteriia; Flavobacteriales; Flavobacteriaceae. The record is from Rfam by way of RNAcentral.